AUAGUCAAAGUCCAGUGGCAGGACAAAAUUCAACUGGCCAUGGUCCAGGAUGCAAUGAAUGACUUUGGUGUCUUUGAUACCUGACCAAGAUCAAAGAGCUUCAUCGCCUGCUUCAACUACUUUUGUGGCCAUUGGAACACAUCAUUCUCAUCUACCUAUUCAGUUGGGGAGAAUCUUCACGUUUGGGGAAUAUUCUGAAGAUCAUCUGGAAAAGGGAUCCUGUUCCAGAAGUACAAGUUUGAAGGACUGAUGUCUGUACCUGAUCUGAAGUGAGAGAGAAGAUGGACAAAAACAAAGAAGUGGAGAUUUAUGGUGCCAGGGCAAUGAAAAAUCAACACAGGCUGCCUUCUCCCAGUGGGUUCCACUAUAUGCAUCUUCCAAGAGAGCCACCAGCCACUCCACAAGCUCCUGCCAGAGACAGCCCAGCUCUGAUUAUAAGUGAAUUACCUUUUCUGCUUUCUCAGAUGGAAACUCAAAAACUGAAUUCUAACCUCAGGUCUAAAAGAGAAGAAAGAUCACUCCUCCAACAUUAUACAUAAUAUACACUUCAUAAAUGUUUACUGAAUUUAUUGAAUUACUGAAUAUGUGGAUCCCUCAGGCUUCCUAGGCUGUAGUAAAUUAAAGGGUUUGACCCGAAGGACUUGAAGGUGUCUUCUGGAUGUAAAUCUAAGUUCCUAUAACUUUGACCCACCGAGAUUUCUGCUUUGGGUAAGAGUUCAGUCAAAUAGAAUAUACAUACA
This is a long non-coding RNA of Sarcophilus harrisii (Tasmanian devil), 740 nucleotides long. RefSeq lists it as uncharacterized. Lineage: Eukaryota; Metazoa; Chordata; Mammalia; Dasyuromorphia; Dasyuridae. The transcript is spliced from 3 exons. The record is from RefSeq and is a predicted model, not a curated record.